UAGGGAAUCUUCCGCAAUGGACGAAAGUCUGACGGAGCGACGCCGCGUGAGCGAAGAAGGUCUUCGGAGCGUAAAGCUCUGUUGUUAGGGAAGAAGAAGUGCCGUUCGAACAGGGCGGCACGGUGACGGUACCUAACGAGAAAGCCCCGGCUAACUACGUGCCAGCAGCCGCGGUAAUACGUAGGGGGCGAGCGUUGUCCGGAAUUAUUGGGCGUAAAGCGCGCGCAGGCGGUCCCUUAAGUCUGAUGUGAAAGCCCACGGCUUAACCGUGGAGGGUCAUUGGAAACUGGGGGACUUGAGUGCAGAAGAGGAGAGCGGAAUUCCACGUGUAGCGGUGAAAUGCGUAGAGAUGUGGAGGAACACCAGUGGCGAAGGCGGCUCUCUGGUCUGCAACUGACGCUGAGGCGCGAAAGCGUGGGGAGCAAACAGG
Molecule: ribosomal RNA, 430 nt
Filed under: Bacillota bacterium
Lineage: Bacteria; Bacillati; Bacillota
Description: Firmicutes bacterium partial 16S ribosomal RNA
Rfam family: Bacterial small subunit ribosomal RNA
Source: RNAcentral